Molecule: small RNA, 28 nt
Filed under: Bombyx mori (domestic silkworm)
Lineage: Eukaryota; Metazoa; Arthropoda; Insecta; Lepidoptera; Bombycidae
Description: ovarian small RNA-24166
Source: RNAcentral
UAUUCGUGCAUCUUCGGUCUCUUUGCCC